GACGAACGCUGGCGGCGUGCUUAACACAUGCAAGUCGAACGGAAAGGCCCUGCUUUUGUGGGGUGCUCGAGUGGCGAACGGGUGAGUAACACGUGAGUAACCUGCCCUUGACUUUGGGAUAACUUCAGGAAACUGGGGCUAAUACCGGAUAGGAGCUCCUGCUGCAUGGUGGGGGUUGGAAAGUUUCGGCGGUUGGGGAUGGACUCGCGGCUUAUCAGCUUGUUGGUGGGGUAGUGGCUUACCAAGGCCUUGACGGGUAGCCGGCCUGAGAGGGUGACCGGCCACAUUGGGACUGAGAUACGGACCAGACUCCUACGGGAGGCAGCAGUGGGAAAUAUUGCACAAUGGGCGGAAGCCUGAUGCAGCAACGCCGCGUGCGGGAUGACGGCCUUCGGGUUGUAAACCGCUUUCGCCUGUGACGAAGCGUGAGUGACGGUAAUGAGUAAAGAAGCACCGGCUAACUACGUG
RNAcentral lists this ribosomal RNA (468 nucleotides) under uncultured bacterium. RNAcentral describes it as "partial 16S ribosomal RNA". It matches the Rfam family "Bacterial small subunit ribosomal RNA", at positions 28 to 507 of the family's 1533-position model. The record is from RNAcentral.